This 62-nucleotide microRNA precursor is filed under the name Aedes aegypti (yellow fever mosquito). RNAcentral describes it as "microRNA aae-mir-2944b precursor". It matches the Rfam family "mir-2944 microRNA precursor family", at positions 12 to 71 of the family's 82-position model. Lineage: Eukaryota; Metazoa; Arthropoda; Insecta; Diptera; Culicidae. The record is from miRBase by way of RNAcentral.
AUCGAAGGAACUCCCGGUGUGAUAUAUGACUCGAUUAUAUCACAGCAGUAGUUACCUGAUAU